Non-coding RNA from Coffea arabica (coffee), 182 nucleotides. Lineage: Eukaryota; Viridiplantae; Streptophyta; Magnoliopsida; Gentianales; Rubiaceae. The record is from RefSeq and is a predicted model, not a curated record.
CAUCUCCUUCGUGUCCUUUUGUGAAACAAUGAGGAAGGGGAAGGUCAAUAUUUCAUCUCCACUAUCUGAUGUGAAUUUCUAGAAUGCAUAUAUGGAAGGAAUAUGAAGAUUUGAAGUUGAUAUCUCGAAGAAGUAGUUAAAGCUGGAAAUGACCAUACUUUGGGUUUUGUUACUAGUGGAUC